Molecule: ribosomal RNA, 497 nt
Filed under: uncultured bacterium
Lineage: Bacteria
Description: partial 16S ribosomal RNA
Rfam family: Bacterial small subunit ribosomal RNA
Source: RNAcentral
GAUGAACGCUGGCGGCGUGCCUAAUACAUGCAAGUCGAGCGAACGGACGAGAAGCUUGCUUUUCUGAUGUUAGCGGCGGACGGGUGAGUAACACGUGGAUAACCUACCUAUAAGACUGGGAUAACUUCGGGAAACCGGAGCUAAUACCGGACAAUAUUUUGAACCGCAUGGUUCAAAAGUGAAAGACGGUCUUGCUGUCACUUAUAGAUGGAUCCGCGCUGCAUUAGCUAGUUGGUAAGGUAACGGCUUACCAAGGCAACGAUGCAUAGCCGACCUGAGAGGGUGAUCGGCCACACUGGAACUGAGACACGGUCCAGACUCCUACGGGAGGCAGCAGUAGGGAAUCUUCCGCAAUGGGCGAAAGCCUGACGGAGCAACGCCGCGUGAGUGAUGAAGGUCUUCGGAUCGUAAAACUCUGUUAUUAGGGAAUAACAUAUGUGUAAGUAACUGUGCACAUCUUGACGGUACCUAAUCAGAAAGCCACGGCUAACUACGUG